This 215-nucleotide ribosomal RNA is filed under the name Campeiostachys nutans. RNAcentral's name for it is "Elymus nutans partial small subunit ribosomal RNA". The stretch from base 37 to 215 matches the Rfam family "Eukaryotic small subunit ribosomal RNA", at positions 684 to 864 of the family's 1831-position model. The record is from RNAcentral. Lineage: Eukaryota; Viridiplantae; Streptophyta; Magnoliopsida; Poales; Poaceae.
GGACCAUCAUGUCGGUCGUGCCUCGGUACGUACUGGUAUUUUCGGUUUCUCCCUUCUGACAAACCUUGAUGUCAUUAAUUUGGUGUCUUGGGGAAUCAGGACUGUUACUUUGAAAAAAUUAGAGUGUUUAAAGCAGGCUAACGCCUGAAUACAUUAGCAUGGAAUAAUGAAAUAGGACGUUCGAUCCUAUUUUGUUGGUUUCUAGGAUUGACGUA